CGCGUAGGCGGACCAGAAAGUUGGGGGUGAAAUCCCGGGGCUCAACCCCGGAACUGCCUUCAAAACUCCUGGUCUUGAGUUCGAGAGAGGUGAGUGGAAUUCCGAGUGUAGAGGUGAAAUUCGUAGAUAUUCGGAGGAACACCAGUGGCGAAGGCGGCUCACUGGCUCGAUACUGACGCUGAGGUGCGAAAGCGUGGGGAGCAAACA
Molecule: ribosomal RNA, 207 nt
Filed under: uncultured bacterium
Lineage: Bacteria
Description: partial 16S ribosomal RNA
Rfam family: Bacterial small subunit ribosomal RNA
Source: RNAcentral